This 120-nucleotide ribosomal RNA is filed under the name Chrysanthemum boreale. The record is from RNAcentral. Lineage: Eukaryota; Viridiplantae; Streptophyta; Magnoliopsida; Asterales; Asteraceae.
GGGUGCGAUCGUACCAGCACUAAAGCACCGAUCCAUCAGAACUCUGCAGUUAAGCGUGCUUGGGUGAGAGUAGUACUGGCUUGGGUGACCCGCUGGGAAGUCCUCGUGGUGCACCCCUUU